ACACGACUACAUUAGAUACCCCCUGUAGUCCUAGCCGUAAACGAUACUCGCUAGGUGUCGGCCACGGUGCGACCGUUGUCGGUGCCGUAGGGAAGCCGUGAAGCGAGCCACCUGGGAAGUACGGCCGCAAGGCUGAAACUUAAAGGAAUUGGCGGGGGAGCACAACAACGGGUGGAGCUUGCGGUUUAAUUGGACUCAACGCCGGGAAGCUCACCGGAUAAGACAGCGGAAUGAUUGCCGGGCUGAAGACCCUGCAUGACCAGCUG
Molecule: ribosomal RNA, 266 nt
Filed under: uncultured archaeon
Lineage: Archaea
Description: partial 16S ribosomal RNA
Rfam family: Archaeal small subunit ribosomal RNA
Source: RNAcentral